UACAGAGGCCCCAAGCAUUAUCCGGAAUCACUGGGCGUAAAGGGUGUGUAGGCGGCUUUGCUAGUCCUUCGUGAAAGGCUUUCGGCUUAACCGAGAGAGCGCGGGGGAAACGGCAUGGCUUAGAGGAUGCGAGAGGUAAAGGGAACUCAAGGUGUAGGGGUGAAAUCCGUUGAUAUCUUGGGGAACACCAAAUGCGAAGGCACUUUACUGGCGCACUCCUGACGCUGAGACACGAAAGCGUGGGUAGCGAACGGG
Molecule: unclassified non-coding RNA, 255 nt
Filed under: uncultured Parcubacteria group bacterium
Lineage: Bacteria
Description: contains 16S-23S intergenic spacer region
Rfam family: Bacterial small subunit ribosomal RNA
Source: RNAcentral